Molecule: long non-coding RNA, 216 nt
Filed under: Elaeis guineensis (African oil palm)
Lineage: Eukaryota; Viridiplantae; Streptophyta; Magnoliopsida; Arecales; Arecaceae
Description: long non-coding RNA (EGUI_LNC038356)
Source: RNAcentral
GGUCAUUCAUGCUUUUCAUUAGGUGGUUGUUUUGGAAGUCAAUCAGUUAUAGCCUACUGUAUUUCAUUUAUAUGACAAAUUUUUGAAAAAUGGAGCCUAAGUUCCACUUACUUUCUGAAUAAAUGAGAUUGAAUGAGUCACUAAAUCCAAAUAUUCAUGAGCAGCUUGAUUCAAUUGCAGUUUAUAUGCAAGACUUGUAGGUGGUACCUUUGUGUG